RNAcentral lists this long non-coding RNA (1391 nucleotides) under Ananas comosus (pineapple). RNAcentral's name for it is "long non-coding RNA (ACOM_LNC004504)". The record is from RNAcentral. Lineage: Eukaryota; Viridiplantae; Streptophyta; Magnoliopsida; Poales; Bromeliaceae.
AAUCCAGCAAAGAAGACCCAGACCAUGCGAGCAUGGAAAACACAGAAAAAAAAUGAAAUGUAACUAAAGAAUAAGGAGACAUGACCAAACUAGUGAGCAAGGCUCAGAUAACGCGAGCAUGUAAGUUCCACCAAGAUAAAGGAACCAAAAGCAAGCUUCAGACCAGCAGCGAUUGUUCGACCAUAAAGUGCACAUUAACUGAGAUUAAUACAUACUAAGCAAAGGACCAAAUGGCAGUCGAGAGUGGUUGCCCGCAAGCGGACCGUCCAAACUUCUUGUCUACAGCAAAUCUCUUUUUUUUUUUUUUCACUUCCUUGCAUAUCAUCACUGCCGCUAACAGUAAAAGAAAAAACUAACGACAAAAAAGAGGAGAAAAAUAAAUGAACAGGAAAAAAAACAAACAAGCAAAAUUCGAAGGUCAGUUAAUCCGAGAAUGCAAAACUAAAUUCAGGGAAGGAAAAACAUAAGGAAAAAAUAAAUAAAUAAAUAAAUAAAUAAAACAUAACCACUCCAGAGAAGAAAACCCAGAACAUGCAAACAUGGAAAACCCAAAGAAAAAAUAUGAAACAUAACUAAAGAAUAAGAAGGAGACAUGACCAAACCAGUGAGCAAGGCUCAGAUUAUGCGAGCAUAUAAGUUCCACCAUGAUAAAGGAACAAAAAAGCAAGCUUUAGACCAGCAGGAGUGUUCGACCAUAAAGCGCACACUAAUUGAGAUUAAUACAUACUAAUCAAAGGACCAAAUGAAUGGUCGAGAGUGGUUGCCCGCAAACGGGCCGUCCAAACUCCUUGCCUACAGCAAAUCUCAGUUUUUUUUUCCUUCAUUGCAUAUCAUCACUGCCACCAACAGGGGAAACAAAACUAACGACAAAAUCAGGAGGAAAUAAACUAACACAAAAAAAACAUACAUUCAAAAUUAGCCAAAGACCAUUACGAAAUAUAAGUGAAAAAACAAACGCAAAUGAACAGUCGAGAGUGGUUGCCCGCAAGCGGGCCGUCCAAACUUUGCGCCUACAGCAAACUCAGUUUUUUUCCUUCCUCGCAUAUCAUCACUGCCACCAACAGUAAAAAAAACUAAUGACAAAAUCAGGAGCAAAUAAACAUUGAGGAAAGGAAAAACAUACAGUCAAAAUUAGCUAUAAGGAGCGAAAAAAACAAACGAGCAAAUAAAUAAGAAGCUUCAGAUCAGCGGCGAGUGGUUGCCUGUAAAUAGGCCGUCCAAACCCCGGCACGUGAAAAAAACAUACAUUCAAAAUUAGCUAAAGACCAUUACGAAAUAUAAGUGAAAAACAAACGCAAAUGAACAGUCGAGAGUGGUUGCCCACAAGCGGGCCAUCCAAACUUCGCGCCUAAAGCAACUCUCAGUUUUUUUUCCUUCCUUGCAUAUCAUCA